GAAGUAGAACAAGAAACCGCUAAUUUCUAACCCUGAGGCUAAUACCACAGCUUCCCC
RNAcentral lists this transfer RNA (57 nucleotides) under Pelusios williamsi (Williams African mud turtle). RNAcentral describes it as "tRNA-Ser". Lineage: Eukaryota; Metazoa; Chordata; Testudines; Pelomedusidae. The record is from RNAcentral.